This 617-nucleotide ribosomal RNA is filed under the name uncultured fungus. RNAcentral's name for it is "eukaryotic LSU rRNA". The stretch from base 100 to 253 matches the Rfam family "5.8S ribosomal RNA". Lineage: Eukaryota; Fungi. The record is from RNAcentral.
CUGAUGGGCAACGAAGGCCCUCGCCUAUGAAUAUUUUUACAAACGCUCAAAGUAUGACAGAAUGUAUAUCAUAUUGCGUCUGAUAAACGUGACAAAUACAACUUUCAACAACGGAUCUCUUGGCUCUCGCAUCGAUGAAGAACGCAGCGAAAUGCGAUAAGUAAUGUGAAUUGCAGAAUUCAGUGAAUCAUCGAAUCUUUGAACGCACCUUGCGCUCCUUGGUAUUCCGAGGAGCAUGCCUGUUUGAGUGUCAUGAAAUUCUCAACUGCCCCAGGCUUUGUGGCCUGCGGGUGAAGUUGGACUUGGAGGUAUGCUGGCGCAUGAAUGGGCUUUUGUGCCCCGUCUCGCUUGUUGGCUCCUCUCGAAUGCAUGAGCUUUCCAAUCCUUGGCAAAGUAUCGUCGAUGUGAUAAUUGUCUACGUCGCCUGAGAAAGCCGAAAAGGGGAAAUCUUUGAUCACGCUGGGGUGACCUGCGUCUGACAAAUUCGACCUCAAAUCAGGUAGGACUACCCGCUGAACUUAAGCAUAUCAAUAAGCGGAGGAAAAGAAACUAACAAGGAUUCCCCUAGUAACUGCGAGUGAAGCGGGAAAAGCUCAAAUUUAAAAUCUGGCGGCCCC